Molecule: ribosomal RNA, 497 nt
Filed under: uncultured bacterium
Lineage: Bacteria
Description: partial 16S ribosomal RNA
Rfam family: Bacterial small subunit ribosomal RNA
Source: RNAcentral
GAUGAACGCUGGCGGCGUGCCUAAUACAUGCAAGUCGAGCGAACAGACGAGGAGCUUGCUCCUCUGACGUUAGCGGCGGACGGGUGAGUAACACGUGUAUAACCUACCUAUAAGACUGGGAUAACUUCGGGAAACCGGAUCUAAUACCGGAUAAUAUAUUGAACCGCAUGGUUCAAUAGUGAAAGACGGUUUUGCUGUCACUUAUAGAUGGAUCCGCGCCGCAUUAGCUAGUUGGUAAGGUAACGGCUUACCAAGGCAACGAUGCGUAGCCGACCUGAGAGGGUGAUCGGCCACACUGGAACUGAGACACGGUCCAGACUCCUACGGGAGGCAGCAGUAGGGAAUCUUCCGCAAUGGGCGAAAGCCUGACGGAGCAACGCCGCGUGAGUGAUGAAGGUCUUCGGAUCGUAAAACUCUGUUAUUAGGGAAGAACAAAUGUGUAAGUAACUAUGCACGUCUUGACGGUACCUAAUCAGAAAGCCACGGCUAACUACGUG